GACGAACCGUGCGAACGUUAUUCGGAAUCAUUGGGCUUAAAGGGCGCGUAGGCGGCGGUGUAAGUUGGAUGUGAAAUCCCAUCGGCUCAACCGUGGAAUUGCUCCCAGUACUGCACUGCUCGAGGGGGAUAGGGGUCUGCGGAACUACCGGUGGAGCGGUGAAAUGUGUUGAUAUCGGUGGGAACGCCAGUGGCGAAAGCGGCAGACUUGACCCUUCCUGACGCUGCAGCGCGAAAGCUAGGGGAGCAAACAGG
This 254-nucleotide ribosomal RNA is filed under the name uncultured bacterium. RNAcentral describes it as "partial 16S ribosomal RNA". It matches the Rfam family "Bacterial small subunit ribosomal RNA", at positions 524 to 776 of the family's 1533-position model. The record is from RNAcentral.